CGGCAGUGAGUACCCCUGGGGCUGGGCUGUUCCCCCCAAGAGAGCUGAGCGUCUCAGACCUCAGUGCGCACAGCUGGGGUGGGGGUGUGGGGUGUGUCUUGUGCUGAAUCCGCAGCCCAGAGAAGGCCUGCGAGCAGAGCCCGACGCCCCUGCCUGGGACGGCGGAGUCCGCGGAGACUGAGCAGUGGUUCCCCCUGGAGGCUCACUGGCCAGGAGAAACCAGGUGGGGAUGGUGGCGAGACAGCAAGCGGCUAGAUGGACUGAGGGGUUGCUGCAGAGAGCAAGGAGCAGAAGAGGACGAAAAGGAGCAAUGCAGCUGAAAAUAAGGGGGCGCGGUCACUGUCUGCCUGUGGCUAGAGGCGGGUCGGUCCUGAGCUCGGUCUCCAUCGUGAUCCCCACAGCGGCGCCUUCUCUCCUGCAGCUCAGGUCGUGCUCAGCCGAGCACGAUUCAAUUCCCCGACGAGUUUCCCCGGCCCCCUCCCGCCGCGGACCAGGAGCAGCCCACUGUGCACAGCAGACCUCCCCCUCUCCCCGCUGCCCUUAUCAGCCGUGGAUUUCAGUCCAUCCGCCAAUUCUGCUCCCCACUCUCUCUCGUGACUCCUCUCACCCCCCCCACCUCUGGCCUGUACCCCAGCUCUUGUGUGCAUAAAGAAAUAAAUCUACAAAAAUAAAGGAGGA
Molecule: long non-coding RNA, 678 nt
Organism: Talpa occidentalis (Iberian mole)
Lineage: Eukaryota; Metazoa; Chordata; Mammalia; Eulipotyphla; Talpidae
Exons: 5
Source: RefSeq, a predicted model, not a curated record